ACUGUAGUCUGCAACCCGACUACACGAAGCUGGAAUCGCUAGUAAUCGCGAAUCAGAAUGUCGCGGUGAAUACGUUCCCGGGUCUUGUACACACCGCCCGUCACACCAUGGGAGUCGGGAAUGCCCGAAGUCAGUGACCCAACCUAUAGGAGGGAGCUGCCGAAGGCAGGUCUGAUAACUGGGGUGAAGUCGUAACAAGGUACC
This 204-nucleotide ribosomal RNA is filed under the name uncultured bacterium. RNAcentral describes it as "partial 16S ribosomal RNA". It matches the Rfam family "Bacterial small subunit ribosomal RNA", at positions 1297 to 1500 of the family's 1533-position model. The record is from RNAcentral.